Long non-coding RNA from Daphnia magna, 846 nucleotides. RefSeq lists it as uncharacterized. The transcript has 2 exons. Lineage: Eukaryota; Metazoa; Arthropoda; Branchiopoda; Diplostraca; Daphniidae. The record is from RefSeq and is a predicted model, not a curated record.
UUAAAACCAAAUAAAAAAAAAACAAAAACAAUAAACAUAAAUUUUUGACAGCUGUAAGCGUCCAUUCUGUCAGCUGACGAUAGGCGUCGUCUGGACGAUAAGUGUCUCUCCCUAUUGCCCAAAAGUGACGGCGCAGCUUUGCCAUAGGCUUCGUCUCAGCGUGCGCGACCAACCUGACCAGGUCCAUAACCCUCUCGUCCCUGUCUCCUCUCUUUCCCUUUCCCCUUCAAUUUAGUCCUAGCGGUGGCGUCUCGACUUACUUUAUAAAUAGUUAAUGGGGGUAAAACGUAUUUUUUUCAUCCGUUAUUUAAUUUCUGAUUAGAAGUUUGCUUUAAAUUGCAUUUCUUUUUGUUCAUUUUAUACGUAUACAAGUUAGGACUUACGUCAUGGUAUGCUUACGUAUACAAGAACCUUUCUUUAUCGUUUGUGGCAUCGUGGGAAACUGUAUUGGCCGAGGGCCUAACACACGAUGAUGCAUUGUAUGGCCUGGCUGUACAAUAGGUCAAUAGCUAAAACGAUUAAAACAAAUUCACCGCCAUAUUGAAUUGAUACUGUUUGUUUCUACAAUAUCCAGUUCAAGCCAUCUGUUGAGACCCUUCAUUCCUCAAAUCCCGGGAGUUGUUGAAGUGAAAAUGAAUAAUCCAGGCCAAAAUGUCUGACGGCCAGAGGUUCAUCGCUAGUUAUGGGCAGAGCAGCUACUUUUUCUACAUAGGGUAUAAAACACAAAGGAAAGGAUGUACUUUAUUACUAGAAAACCAGAAAAUGUCCAUAGUACCUGGUCCUGGGCAGCACAUUUGUAAAGGGCGUUCACCUUAAAUAAAUCAGUCUGUGGCGUUUGCAAGUAAA